UGCUAAGAAGGUUAUUAUUUCUGCCCCCAGCAAGGAUGCUCCCAUGUUUGUUGUUGGUGUUAACGAGCACGAGUACAAGCCAGAGCUUGAUAUCAUUUCCAAUGCCAGCUGCACAACCAACUGCCUUGCUCCUCUCGCCAAGGUUUGCUGUUUGCCUGAUUCCGUGUAGUAUAUUUUGUUUUGUUGUUUUGUGACUAUUAUAAUUUUAAUAUUUUCUUGUUAAUUUUGCAGGUUAUUAAUGACAGAUUUGGCAUUGUUGAGGGUUUGAUGACCACAGUUCAUUCCAUCACCGGUGAGUCUCUCUCUGAAUGGUUUUCCUGUUGCAUGUUUUGGCUCAUACAUACUAAUUACUAAGUCUGGUUUAUGUUAUUGUUUUGCAAACCAGCUACCCAGAAGACUGUUGAUGGACCAUCAGCCAAAGACUGGAGAGGUGGAAGAGCUGCUUCAUUUAACAUCAUUCCUAGCAGCACUGGAGCUGCCAAGGUGAAUAUUUCAUCCAAUGUAGUUUGGUGUUUCUGGCUUUGCCAUAAGGUUGAUGUUUAAUUGUUACAGACAACUCUAUUUUUGAUUUUUACGAUUCUUAUUUUUCUGUGCCAAGGCUGUUGGGAAAGUCCUUCCUUCUUUGAAUGGAAAAUUGACUGGAAUGGCAUUCCGUGUUCCCACCGUGGAUGUCUCCGUUGUUGACCUCACAGUGAGGCUGGAGAAGAGUGCCAGCUAUGACGAAAUUAAAAAUGCUAUCAAGUAAGGGCAGAAUACUCUUAUUGAUAUUGUGGUGCUGCUGAAUCUUAUGCAAAUUUUUGUGACUCUUGUUAUUCGAGAUCCAAUUCAAGUGGUGCGCCCAGUUUUGGGAUUGGUCCUUGCGCACUGUCUAAUAUAAAUGUUGUCUUUUACAGGGAGGAAUCCGAGGGCAAGUUGAAGGGAAUUCUUGGUUACACCGAAGAUGAUGUGGUCUCCACCGACUUUGUGGGUGACAGCAGGUAUAUAAAUUUUGCCACAGUUGUGAAAUUAUUCAUACAUGGCAGCUGUAGUGAUGCUUAAUGUCCAAGUUUUUGUUACCUUUUUUUUUUCACAUUAUUCAUGUACCUGUUACUGAACCCUUUUGUCUUAUUUUUGUUUCAGAUCAAGUAUUUUUGAUGCAAAGGCCGGAAUUGCAUUGAACAAAAAUUUUGUGAAACUCGUCUCGUGGUACGACAAUGAGUGGGGAUACAGGUAAACCACCUUAAACCUUUCUUGUGUAGAACAGAGUGGUAGUGCGUCAUGUAACAGAUUUUUAGUUGAUCAAUUAACCCAAUUAGUAAUUAAAUUUGGCCAAAAAUCUAAUCAUGCUAAUUAUAUAUGCUUUAUUAUCAUUAUAUCAUUAUUACUUUUAUUAAUUCAGCUAGAUCUUAUACCUGCUGUGUUCCUGGUCUUGCAGCUCACGUGUGAUUGACCUGCUUGUUCACGUUGCCAAGAACUCUCUUUAAGCUGGUACUGCAUGGUAGCAUGUCUACACGUUAGUACCGUAUGUUUACUUUUAGCUGCGAUUUUAGUGUCUUGCUCAUGCAAAAAUGAGUAGUCUGAAUAAAUCAGGAACCAUUGUUGUUACCCUGCUAGGAGCUUUAAGCUCUUUUUUUGUUUACCCUCUUCUGUGUGGGGGAGGGGAUUGAGCUUUUGGCUUUUUAUGUACUUUGCUGUUGUACUCGGCUUUAUAUAUCUUUCUGCGCAUGUUUUUGCACAUUUAAACAUGGGAUUCUAAGUUAACUUUUUUGGUUUUAUAAAACUUAAACGUGGUUGGAUCAGUUUAUGAUUAAUUUUUUAUGGAAAUAUUCUCGAAAAGUUAUACAAAGUUGUUAUUCCUUAAACUUCGAGACAAAACGGCCGUUCAUUUAUUCACUUAGCCAGUCCUGGUUUUUAAUUUAAAGUGAUGAUGUACCAACAAGGUGGCUGAAUUUGCGAUCAUUACCUCAUAUUCCUUUGGAUCAUGUUAGAUUAUAAGAUUUUUCUUGUUUAACUUUUUUCUAUUUGUCUGUGUGUAUUUCACUAUCGUAUUGCGUAUUGUCCAAGUCUGAUUACUCAUUGGAUUACCAUUUUAAUACCGUCUAUUGUUGAUUAUGUUGCUGUACUCUAGAGAUGAACGAAACAGGUGCAAAAUAAUUCAGGAAAUGGAAAGCCUUCUGUACAAAAUAAUUUAGUGAAAGUUUAAAAUUAUUAAAUACUUUAAAUUAUGAAAACUUUACAAAGCUUUUAAAAUGACACGUGUAUAUGAACAGCGCUCACACAAGUAGCACGUUUAUGUGGGCAUAUUUUUGUUCAUAGGUUUAAUUUUAAAUUUUUAAUACAAUUCUUGUAUUUAAAUGGUUAAUUUGUAUAGGAUUUGUGGAUAUGUUUACGUUUUCAUUUUAGGUUUAAUUUUAAGUUUUUAGUGCAAUUCUUGUAUUUAAAUGAUUAAUUUGUAUAAGAUUUGUACAAAUGGAUUUAUCAAGUUUGUAAAUAAAAAAGUUAUUUUUAUUAUUUUUAAAUGUUAAAAUAUUUGUUGAUUAAUCUGUAUAGGAAUUUACGUGGAGUUAAAUGCACCAAGUAUGCCCAUUUUUUAACAAUGGACAACACAAGCAACAUUUAUUGCCACACUACCUAAUUUUUUAUACAUAUUUGUACAAUACAUAUUUCUUCUUCUUCACCACACCUACAGAAAUCAAAUUCACCAGCCAACGAAAUACACAACCGAAACCAAGUUUAGCCACUGGAGCGUGCCUCCAUCAAUGCAGAAGCCCCUCUUCAAAACGUGGAACCCUGAUUUCUGGGAUCCUGAUUUUUGGGAGAAAAAGGGGACUACUACAUGGUAUCCCUGAACAAUCUUCUCAGGUCAAAAUUGGCCAAACAGUCAACCUUGGUCAAUGGUCAAAGAAAAAGGACUAAAGCAUAAUUAGAGAAAAAAUUUGGACUUUUUUACAAUUUUGAAACAAUAAGGAGGGUUAAUUUUGAUUAUUGAUGUAGGAUAUCUUUUUUCUAUGUCUUUUAUCUCUCCAUCAAGUCAAAAGUAAUAAUUUUUAUAUCAAAAGGUAUUUUAAUCUAUAUUUAUAUUGAUCAUAUGAAUUUAAUGGUUUCUAUUUUUGAUUGAAAAUGUACUUUGAUUAAAUUUAAGAACUUUGAUAUAAUUAAAUCAAUUUUGCUAUCAAUUGAGGAUGUGCUUUAAUAGGUGAUAAGAAUUUUAACAAUAAUUAAUUGAUAAUUUAUUUUAAUUAAUUAGCUUUUAAUUUGGUUAGAAGAUUUAAGAACAAACAUGAUUAAAUACAAUAAAAUUUAAUUGAGAAUAUACUUUGUUGAAUUUAUUUUGAAUAAUCUAAAAAAGUCGAGAUUCUAUUUUGAUUAAUUGUAAGAUCAUUUCCAAAUUAAUUAAUAAUAUAUUUUAAUUAAUUUGAAACUCAAAAAAUAAUCAAUUGAAUAAUAAUUUGUUAAGCGAGGAUGAAUCUAUUUUGGAUAAAUAGUGAAAUUAGUCUAUUUUAUUAUUGUUGUUUCUAAAUUUUUUAUUUGUUUUUCAAUUAAAUUUACAACAUUCUUCGUUAUAAAUUUCAUUAGUAUAGAUUUUUACUUUUAUUUUUAAAUAUUGCAUAACAUUUUAUCUUUUGGAUUCUUCAUAGUAUUUAAAAAUCAAUUUAGUAUUCGUUGAAAAACUACUCAAGAUUACUUUAUUUCUAUCUUGUUUGUUGAUUACUAACCUGAAAAUACUGAAAUUGUCUUGUAAAAUAGUAUUAAUUUGAUAAUUUCAAGUAUCAUACAUUUCUAAUAUUUGUAAAGCCAAAUUUUGAAUUUUAAGUUCAAUAUAUAAUUUUGACUUCAUAACUAAGAAUAUCUCAAUAUUUUUUACAAGAAACUAUUGUUUUAAUGUGAGAUUUACUCGUCUGGGUUCUUUAAAAAUUUAGGAAAGAUAUAUGACGAUAUCUUUUUUUAUUAUUUUAAGCUUUUGUUUAUGUUGUUACGAUAGUAUUAGUAAUAGAAAUGUGAAGGUUCAAAAAUGUAAAAUAGGUUUUUUGUCUUUUUAAAAUAUUUGAAAUUCAAUUUUAGCAUUUUAGAAAAAUGAUAAAAAAAAAUUAUCAAAAUGUGUGGGUUUAUGCAGUAUAAGUAGAUUACGAAUAACUUUUCACUCCUUUAAAAGUGUAUGGUAUAAAGUGUAAACCAACGUUUAACAUUCAGGACUGUUCGGUUCAUCAAUGGUCAAUCAAGUCAAAUGAUUUUAUUUUAUGAGUGACUAACCGAAUCUAAAAGUAAAUUUGUUUUUAUUUUAUUGGAUUUGUGUUAGUUUAGUAUCCAUAAAAUGACUUAUAAAUAUAAGGUGAGGGACAAAAAUCCAAGAUACUCAAUUGUAUAAGUAAUUCAUUGAAUAUUUAAUUAUAAGUAGAAACUCUUUAAACACACGACUAACUUGAACAUCGGAAAGUCAGAUACAGUCCUACAAAUAUAUACAAAAAGUAUAUUAUUUUAUGUAAUGGAUUUAAAAAAUUCCAUCUGUUUUCGUUAGUUUUUCGCUCAUGCCGCUCAGCGGCAGUAAAAAAAGUUUGUUACCUCUGUUUUUUAACAUUUCCAAAAUAUACUUUGACAAACUGGUACAUAAAUCAAUGUCCAAUCAUAAGUUCACAAACCAAAAGAUUUGUUGAGUUUACGUUUGGAAUAAAUUCUUUGUACUAUACAUAGGUUUUAAUGUAAUUAGAAUGAAUUCUAUUCGAUUUAAAAACCAAAGAAAUGCUUAGUGGGAAGUUCUAGAUUUACGAAGUUGUUUGAGGAAGAAAAUCUGAAUUGAGUUUGAGAUACGCAAAUAAUGAGAAGAGGACAAAAGUACACGGUGAAACAAGGAAGGCAGGCAUGUCCUAUUAUCCCAAUCUUGGGACAUUUCAUUGUUUUGUUGAAUCAAAUAUCUGGCACCCUCUAAUCGCUGCCACAUCUUUGGAACCCUAAAAAUAAAGCAAAAGGCGAGUAUGUGGCUCCAAAAUUUAAAGCCACACAUCUAUGCGAACAUUUAAAUCCUUUGUGCCCACUGAAUCUGAUCCACUUCCUUUCGUUGACCUUUUAAAACACACCACAAACCGAAUAGUGUUGCAUACUUACGCCAACCAUCUAUUCACCCUACAUUUGUUUAUUUUUUCUGUAAUAUGAAAUAUAUCAAUAGAAAUGAAUGGUCAUUUAUGGUCAUUAGCAUGUUUCAGAUUCUCUUUAGUUUUACAAAUAUACUAUGUUAAUAAUUUAUUAUCGUAUUUCAUCAUCUUAUUUUCCAAAUAUACUAUAUUAAUAAUUGAUUAUCGAGUUUCAUUCUUUAAAAAUAUAUUGUAUUAAUCAAGGAGUUUGGGAGUCACAAGUCCUAUAAAUAUAUAAUUGAUGUUUAAGUAAAAACAUCAUUUUCUAUCCUGAUAAAAUAGUAACCUCUUUAGUAAAUAUAUCUGAUUGUCAACAAACCAUCAUAGUGUAUUGCAUUUUUUGAAGAGAAUUAAACGAUUAAAAAGCAAAACAAACAAGGACAACCGACCCUCACAUCAAUUUAACCAAAAUACUAUAAUUAUUAAAUUUCAUCUUUUUAAUACAUUGAAUUAGUUUUCAGCAAAUAUGGAGUUAGUUUUUAUAAUUUAAGGCUAUGCUAGACCCAAAUAUUUGUUGGUAAAAAUAAAGUGAGUGGACUUUUUUCCACAAGUUAAAAUUUGGUUAUGCAUGCAGUUUUAUAAAACACUAACCUUUUCAAAUGUUUGUUUAUAUAGGUUAAUUUUAGCCUAUAAAAGCAAUUUAUUUUAAUUUCUUCUUUUGCUUCUGAAAUUUUUUUGUUUAAACGGAUUUGACAACUGAAAUACUAAAUUUAUUUCUUUUAAUAUAACUUUUUAAUAUAAUGAAUAAGAAGAUUACUUCAUUCCGUUGCAACAGAAUAUGCGCUCACGUUUUAUUGGAUGAGAAUUAAACACAAAAUUACGAAAUCAAAUGAUGUUUGCGGAAAUUACACGCUUACUUUGUAAUAUAUGAUUUUUUUUUGUCAAUUUUGUGCAACCCUUAUUUCUGUCGGUUAUCCUUUUUUUAAUUAUUAAUUUAUUGUAAAACAUGAUUUAAAAACAUAAACUUGAUGUUCUGUAAACAUUUAAAUAUUUGCGUUUUUAUUAACAUAAAAUUCGUGGGCCCUUGCAUAUUUUGCAAAACGCUUAAAUAAAAAUAAAAGUAUCUGAUUUUAUUCUUUGUAUUUUUCGUUAUAUAUUUAUCAGAAACUACAUUUAAACUCAAUUUUCAUAAUGGUUUUUUGUAGAGCUGUCAAAAUGAUUCAUAACUCGCUGGUCAACCCGGUCUGUCACGGAUUUGAGCUAAGUUGGGUUUGAAAAUAGGGAGUUGAUCCUUCCACCUCCCCCGAUUUGACCCUCCACUUCCCCAAAUUUGUAUAACCUUCUUUUAAAUACAAAAAUAACCUUUUUUUUAUUUUUAUUUUACCUUUUUAAUCCUAUUUAAUAGUAACCCUAAUUUUCUAUUUUCUAAUCAAAUUUCCAUAGCACCCCCACCUCCCCUUCCCUUCUCUCGGAUUCUGACCACCACAGUAAUCGCUCAUGCCGGAGAUGGUAAUUUCCACACGGUUAUUCUAUUUGAUCCUAGCCAAGAAGAACAUCGACGGGAGGCAGAGAAACUCAACCAAUUUAUGGUUCGUGCUGCCUUGUCAUUGGAAGGUAUUAUCAUUAACUUGUUGACUCUUGCUGUUACAUGUUAGUAUGGUAUUUCAGGUGCUUUUUAAUAUUCUUUGUUUUUUUUCUAAAAAUCAUAAAGUCGGUAAAGUCGUUGUAAUUUUGAAAUUCGCAUAUGGUUAUUCCAAACAGGAACUUGUACGGGUGAACACGGUGUUGGCACUGGAAAAAUGAAGGUACUGCACUAGUGAUUCUAAUAAAUCUUAAAAACAAUAUGAUGUGUUUAGGCUAUUAGCUUUAGAAAACAAUCUUUGACACUAAUCUGCCUGCUCCGCUCGACUGCAAAAUGCCUUGUUUUAUAUUAAGAUAUACAAUAAAUAAGCCGAUCAUGUUUUACGCAGUGGUUGUUAUUAAUAAUCAUAAUUUACAUAGAAAGAUUGUCGGCAGACGAUCAUGUUUUGAUGGUUUAUGGUUAUUUAAGAACAUAUUUUAUUUUCAAACGCAGUAUUCGAUAAAUUUUAUAAUUAUAAGUUUGGUUAUGAAAGUGUACUUCAUGCAGUAUCUUGAAGAAGAACUUGGAGUGGAAGCAUUGAAAAUAAAAUUUUAAAUAGGUUAUGUGGGGGUGAGUAAAUGAAAUCAUAAAAUUUUAACUCUAAAUAUAAAAUUUUACUAAAGAAUAAAAUAGGAAUAGAAAAAAUAGAGCAAAGGGUAAAAAUGGAAGGGAGAGGUGUAGGGAGCAACUAGGGAGGUGCAGGGAGUAACUCCCUUGAAAAUAUUAUAUUUUUUUAUGUGGGUCAGAUUUCAACCCGACUCAUUUAAACCCGGCUCAUGCGGGUUGAAUCCGUGGUGGACCGAAUUGGCCCACCAACCUACCUACCUAAAUUUAUUUUAUUAAAAUUCAAUUUUAAUUUUAUAAAAAAAUAUUUAUUAUUUUUUUAUGCUUGAAAAAAUUAUUUAGGUUCUCUAUUUUCAAAAAUAAUUAUACAUCCAUGUUGGAAGUGAAAUUUGGAAGUGAAAUUUGUUUAGGUUUGAAUUAUAGAAACUUUGUAAUUCUUUUAUUUAAAAAAAUUGUAAUUAAGGGACCAGUGAGCCAACCCGUUUACCCAACAACCCGUGGUGGGUCGAGCCGGGUUCGAAAUUUUCUAGCUCGCUAAUAAACGAGCCAGGUUGGGUUGACUCACUAAGUGACCAACCUGUGGUAGUUCGGGUCAAGUCGAGCCGGGUUACCUGUUUUAACAACUCUAGUUUCUUGUGCCCACAUAUUGGAAUGGUCUAAAAUUGUAAGUAUUGAUUGAGGUUAAUAAUAAUAAUAACAGAAAUCAUUUAUUCAUUUAUGAAAAUUAACUUUACCUUGAUCAUAAGAAAAAUUAUCUCAUCAAUCUCAAGCAGAUAGUUGAUGUUGACCUUAGGAAUCUAGUUGAUCUAAUAUCCACUCAACAUGGAAAAUAUUAGAAGAAAAAUUACUUUGGUCAACAUUACCCCUAAAUGCAUGUGUGGGAAGUAACAUUCCUCAAGAAUAACCAAAACAACCUUAAACCAACAUUUUAGAAUUUCAUUCCUUGCAUUAUUCAAGAAUGUGAAAGAUAAAGUGAGUUUAUAGAGUAUUAUAUUAUUUUUUGUAACAUAUCAAUGAAUUAAAGAAGGUCUAAAGGAAAAAUAAUAAGCUCAAAAUGACCUAGAGUAAUGUAUAUAAUUGAUAGGGUGACCAUUACCACAAAAACCAAAUCUCACAUCAUAAUGAUGAAACCCAAUGGGGUGUAAUUCAUGUCAAACAUGUAGUUUGAUCGGUUUCUGCACCAUGUCAACAUUGUUUUACAUAUUACAUUUUCAUAGUCAAAGAUAGUAGAAAAAUAUUGAAUCCAUCCUCUAUCAGAUAAUAUUAUAUACUCAGGGGAAAACAUUACAUUAGACAAUUUUUUUAUGUUGUUCAUUGAAUUUAUAUAAGGAGACUGAAAGUAUCUAAGAGGAAAAAUAUUUUUUUAUAAAACACACUUAGAUUAUUUUAUUAUUAAAAAAUUCAAAUUAUAAAUAAAAAACUAGUUAAUCAAGCCUCUAACAAUAAUUUUUUUUUUCCUAUCAGCACUCCAAAAAUAAUUUUAGAUUAAAACUAUAUAAUGAUGCUUAUAUUUGUACUACAAUUUGAAUUCGGUUCUGAAGCUUUAAGUAGUAUAAAUUAGGUCAAUAUUUUUGCAAAUGUGAUACAAUUUGGCCAUUUCUGUUAGUACAGUACUAACGAUGUUAAUUUAGUGUCACGUGUUAGUAUGUGAUUUUAUUAUUUUUAUUUUUUUUUCAAAAAAAAGGAAAUUUGUCACUUCUCAAAUGAGGAUGAGAGAGGAAUUUUAUUUUGAUUGACGUGACAAAAGUCAUCAUUAGAUUUGUUAAAUAUGAUAUGCUCAUAUGCAUGUAAAUGCUUGUAGAAUAUCUAUAUUUCAAUGAUGUCAUGCAAGUCAUCCUUUAAUUUGUACAUCUUAGACUGUUGACUCUCUAUACGCUUUUAGAAGGUAUUGGUAUGUAUUGGGUCAGAUUCUUUCAACUAUUUUCGAACUUGGUGAUCUAGAUUAAUCAAGUGUUAUCUUUAAUUAGCUUUAUGGUUCCCAUGGGUUCAAAUAAGGACUCCUAGGUGUGUUUAAUGUCUCCUAAACGAUAUGUGGUAUUUAGACACUUGUUUUGAGUUGAUCAAUUCUUUCCUUCCUAAUUCAAUAUUAAUGCAUUCAAUAAGGAUGAAUGGGAGACAAGCACAUGUAUAUACUUGUAUGUCUACAUAUCUACAAAAUAGGAUUCGACCAAUGUUGUGUAGUGAGUUAUUUCAUAGCUGAGAGUGGUAAGCAUGCUUUUUUCUUCCUUGAUUUCUGCCUUUACCUCGUUUUUCUUUUGUUUUCAUGAUUGCCUCCUCCAUCUAACUCGUCUUGCUUGGGAAUGAAUACCUUUUUUUGUGUUGUGUAGUGUCAAGAGUCAUUUCCUUGGUCUCAUAACCAGUGUUUCCACUCGAUCAUCUAACAUCAGAGAGUUUGAGAAUUUGAGCUUUUGGUACCCACCUGACCUUACAGUCUUUCUUAUUAGUCGUGUUAGCCAGAGACUUUACACAUGAUUGGAAUCUAAGUUUGGGAGUGUUUUCUUUUGUUCUUGCAAAAUGAUUUAAUUUGUUGCUGAUUUCUCUUACCUCUUCUUGAUGCAUAUGAUUUUUGCUUUUUCUGAUAAGCAUUUUCAAGCCCCUAUUAUCACCAUAUAUUUUGUGUAGCUCAACAACUAAUAUAUGGUUAUCCUGUAUAAGACGGUUGAGACAUCUGAUGUCUUUUGCAUUUGUUGUGUCUUUGACCAACUUUUCGUGUUUCAAUAUUGAUUUGUCCUUUUCUCUUCUCGAGAUAGUUAGUUCAUCUUUUAUCUUAGUGAUACUCAUUUGAAGUUCCCUUGUUUCCUCCUUAGACGAUGUGAGUUCUUUGCUUAGCUCAUCAUUUUCUUUUGAAAAUCCUUUAGCUUGUAUCUUCAAUAUUUGAUAAAUCUUGGUCAAUCUUAUGCAUUUUGUUAAAAAUCUGUCGUAGGCUUCAAUGACUAAUUGUAGAUCAAAAAAGUCUAUUUCACAAUUAUUGUCUUCUGAGUGAUACAUGAGGUCACCUACUUCGUCUUCAGGGAUUUAAUUGGUGCUCUUGAAGUUUUCUAAAGUUGUGUUGUUCCUUAUGUGUGAGUUGUUGUAAAGAUGAUGGAGACCAUCGAGGUUGCACUUGUUGUUUCCCAUAUUUUAGAAUUAUUUCCUUGAGUUCGUUUAAGAACUAACUAAACGAGGUUAGCUCUGAUACCAAUAAAAGUACCUGAAAAACACUAGAAGGAGGGGCAGGGGGGGGUGGGGUGUUGAAUAAUGUUAGUGAAAAAAUUCUUUUUGUAACCCUUAUGAUAAAACACGUUGUCAAGUUUUGAGUUUUUCUGAUAAACACUUAGAUGCUCGACAUAAUAAGUGAUUAUAAAAGAUAGGUGCUUUUAACAUGCUAUUUAGAAUUUACACUGCAGAGUUUAUAAGAACUUCCUUUGCUGAUGAUUAGUCAUUUAGUGCGGAAGGUUCUUGUAUUUAGAAAUAAAAACAUGGCUGCAGGUUUUAUAAGAGAAGCGUUUAGACAAGAGAAGAGGUAGUUGCACAAAUAAUUUUAUAUUGGUUCACUCCAAUUGAGCUACAUUUAGUCUCUUCCACAAAGGUCUCCGUUGUAAUCUUCAACAAGAUUACAACUAAGUAUUCACACCACUCCUGAUCUCCUUAGUUAGCGAAUAACCUAUAGUUACCCUAAAAUGAAUGAGUAUUCUCACCACUCAUGGUCUCCUCAGUCAACGAAUAACCUCAUGUUAUCCUAGACUUAAUAAGUAUUCUCACCACUCCUGGUCUCCUUAGUUAGUGAAUAAUCUCCUGUUACCCUAGACUAGAUGAGUAUUCGCACCACUCCUGGUACUAAGCAACCUUGCCUAGAUUUCCUUAACUUAACUAAGUUCAACAAGUAUUUUAAUUAUCUUCAUAAUUAUAAUCAGCGAUUGCUUACAAGUCGUUUAAACUAUUACUCUCGUAGAGAGGAUGUGAUUACAAUACAAUGCAAUUUAAACACUCACAGGUGUUUCUCCCUUUUCAUUUUAUCUCUUCCUUAUAAUUAGUAAACAAUAAUACGAUGAAGCUCGAGAGUAUUGCCUUUCUUCUUUUCUCUUCUUCUCUUUUUCUGCUCCGAUAUUUUCUUUUUCUUGAGCUCUUUCUGUACUUCUCUUUUGAAUGCUUCUUAAAUGAUGAAUAUUUCAUUGUAUGUUAUCCUCUUGUUCUUCUCCUGAUUCUUCAUUUGAAUGAUCUUUUAUUUAAAGGCUUUUUGGAUAAGUGUCCAUUAGACUAAGCAUUUGGCCUUGAUUCUUGUGUCUUCUUUUUCUUUGUGUAGAGUAACUGUUGGUUAAUUUCAACUUGUUAGAGUAGUCAUGCUUUUUCAGUACUUUGCUUGAAGUAGGUUGUACUUUCUUUUAGACAACGGUUCAAGUGAAGAACAUUCUGUGAAUAUCUCUUUUGUCUCUAAUGUUCACUUUUGAUAUUUUAAUUUGAAGCUUGUGGAUGCAUGUAUAGUAGCUCCUCUGCAAAGAAUAAAGUAGAUUGUGCAUGUAGCAAAUAUAUUUUUUCUUAUCACUUUUGUUGUUUUUGAAUGUUGAGCAUUUAAUGUCAUUUAAUGCUUGCUCAGAACAACAAAGUGCUUUUUGAUUUCCUACCGUUUAAGUAGAGUUUAACAAUUAAGCUUUUCUUCUAAAGAUACCAAGUGUUAAGUAAAGACUUCUUCGUUGGAUGAAGUAAUACUUUAGCUCAUGGUAUCAUUUAGACUGAGUAAAUGCUUCCCGUGAUUUUGCCUCUUUAUAUAGAUAACGUUUAACAUUGUUUGUGUUUUCUUUGAUGUUUUAAGUUUUAGUAUUUUAGAGUGUUUUUUUCAAUGAUAUUGUCUUGACAUUGGUUCGUUUUCCCGAAAGUUAAACUAAAUACCCUUUGGGUAUGAUAAGCUUUACGCGUUUAGCUUCAACUAACUUAGAAACUUUUUACUUAACAGUUGUUUGGCGUUGUGUCUGAGUGUUUUGACUUUGUUGUUUUUAUGUUUUCUAAAACCCCAAGUCUUUUCCUAAUCGUUUAUGUUUUGAGGAUUUCAGUUCUAAGUCUUAUGUUACUUCCUAUGGUUUUUCCAAAUUAUUAUUUUGUUUAAUGUUCUUUGGUUAAACUUCAAAACAUGAGAACAUUUAUGUGUAUAAACGAUUUUACUUAACAAAUGAAUGGAUCAUGAAGAACAAAUUGGAGACUAUGGAUAAUAGAAUGAAUGGAAAGAUGAAGGUACUUAUGAAAUAUGGUGCGUAUGGUGCAGGUUAUGGUACAUAUGGAGCUAGGACAAAUGUUCCAAUUAAGGAGAGAGGCUAAAAGGAACUCUCAAACUCUCUCACUGUGACUUUCAAGAAGGGAAACUACUCUAAAGUGAUCUCAACAGAGAUUAUCUUCAUUAAUCUCAAAAGUAAUGGUUUACAUGAGAAGAGCUUGGAUUUAUAGUUCUUCUAAACCUCUUGUGGUGCAACUAAGAAGCUGAUAAUCAAUCGUAACACAUGAAGAUGAUGCCACAUGAAAGGCCACAUUUUACAUAUAUAAGACACGUGCAAAACAAAACAGAAACGUGGUGCAGGUGCUCUUCGCCAACGUUAGGCACAAAGUUGUUGCUGUUGAGUGCGAGAUCCUUAUGUUGGAUGAAUGGGGUUUGCUGAAAGUUGGUGCUGAGCACCCAACAGGUUGCGCUAAGCGGUCUGAACUUGGCAACAAUGUGUAAACUUGUCCUCUUGAUCCUAGAUCUUGGCAAGAUUGUCUAGGGCUUUGAAAAGAUGUCUUAGAGCUUUAUUAGGUGUAUCUGGAUGGUUUUAGGUUUUGGAAGAUAGGUCUUGAAGGGUAUUUGGGUUGAUCUUGAACUUGCAUUCUUCCAGCUAGUUGACCUCUCCUUGGUCAAACUCCUACUAUAGGGUCUAUGGCUUUGAUUGAAGUCAUCAUAUAGUCUUACUAUGUGUUGAUGUUAUUGAUUUGACAAGAUGUAGUGAGGCCUUAACGAUUGAGAUAUAAAUGUUGUAUUAGUGUCUUAAUGUUUAUUCUGUUAGUUCACCCAUACUUGUUUGCAUGUGUGGCGAUGAUCGUAUAACCUUUGUGUUAUACGAGAGUAGAUGCAAAUAUUUCAUGUGUUGAUUAAACGCUUGCAGAGGGGAAUUGUUAUCUCAAGUUCCGUGUGAAAUGUAUUUUUUAGGAAAAGGAUUUUAAGAAUUUAUGUAUUGGUUUAGAAUUGAAUUUUAAUAUUUGGCUCUGUAAAUAUUAAUUAACAUUUGAAUUUGUUAAAUACAUUCAAGUUAUGCUUUUGAGGAUUUUUAUAGUGUUGCAAAAAAAAAAAGGUUUUUAAGUUUAAGGCGUUUUAAUGACUUCUAAAAUUGGGGUGUUACAAUGGUUUUAUAUAAACUCGUUGGGCGAGCUAAAUCAUCACUAGAGGAAAAUGAAAAAUUAGAAAUCCAAUGAGCUCUAAACAUUGCACUAGCUAAGUGAGCCAGAGCGAGUUGGACGAGUCAAGUGAAAUGGACUUCUAGGGCUUGGUCAUUAAGUAAGCGUUAUUGUUGCUAGAUGAAAAAUAUUUUGAAAAAUCUAGAAAGCUUAGGGUGGUUACUGUCAUUAGACGAAUAUGCAAUAUUUGUGCUCUAAUAGAUGGUCGUUAGGUGAGUUAGUUCUCUGUUGAGCAAAAAAUAAUUUUAGAAAUUCUAGAGAGCUCAUAGAGAACUGAAUGUUGAGCGACAUAGAGAAUCACUAAAUAAGUAUACUUCCUAAAUUUAGUCUUUAGGCGUGCCUGUUGCUUUGAAAAAAUCCCAACUACUCUUAUUGGCUAAGCUAAAGAGUUCACUUAGGAUAUGUUCACUUGAGGGUAUUUGGAGGAGAUGAUUUGGGAGAGAGUGAUUGAAUGGAUUUGAGGGUAAAUUUUUGGUUAUUUGUUUGAGUGGAUUUGGAGGUAAUUGAUAGUGGAUUUGGAAGUAACAUUUGUGAGAAUUAGUGUAGGAUUUGAUUGAUGUGACUCAUUUAAAAAAUUUGUUUAAUUGGUAGAAAUUAAAGAUUACCAAAAUGUCCAUAAUUAUUAAAGUAAUAUAAAAUGAUAAUUGUUAAUGUUAUAUUUAAAUGUAAAAAUAUUUAUAAAAAGAAAAAAAUAAAAAUUAAUUUUUAAAAUUUAAAAAAUUGUAAUUUAAUAAAUUGAAAUAACUUUUUUAAUAAGUUUAGCUAUUUAGUAAAUUGAAAUAAUUUUUUUAUAAGAGAGAAAAAAUUAAAAUUAAUUUUGAAAAUAAAAUAUAUUUGUAUUUAUGUAAAAUAAAUAAUUAUGUGAUAUUUAAUUAUUGUUAUUAAUAAGAUAUUUAAUUAAGAAAAAUAAAAUAAUGUAAUUAGCUAUUAUAUAUAUAUAUAUAUAUAUUUUAAUUAAUUAUUCCUUAAUCCUAAUAAAUAUAAUAUUAAUUAAUAAUAAUAUUUGAAGGCAUUUAAAACAUAAAAUAAAAUUUAUUAUUUUUUUAUUGCUUUUUCAAUGUUGGUAAAAGACUAGGCAGAUGGUAUAACAAAGUUAUACAAACAAUAAUUUUUUUCUAUUUGUGUUCUUCGUCAUUUUAUUUUAACUGCUUCCAAACAAUGAUUCAGAAAUCUCAAAACAUACACCAUCAUUUAACAUGUUUCCCUUUCUGGCCACCCUUUCCUUUGUUGUGCCUACCACCGUCUUUUUUUCAUGGGCCACGACACGCCACGCGGUUGUCGCACGCCAUAGCCAAAAGCUCGCAGUCAGAAGCUCUUGAAGCUAGUCGCUCAAGGACCUUGUUUUUGCCAUAUUCGUUUUCACUCGUAAUGGUGUUGUGGCUUUUGGCAUCAGAGCUGGUGAGCAUUUACGCAUGGUGACGAUGGGGUGUUUCACUUUGGAGUAGGGUGUGACAACGACAUGGUUUUGAAGGAGGCAGAGGAGGAUGUAAGGUGACGUGGAACGUGGUGCUGAAAAGGUGGAGAGGAAUUUUCACGGUGGUGGGGCGCGAGGAAAGGUGAGACUGGUAAGUGGUGGAAAAAUUUAGAAUCGAUUACAAGUAUUAUUUUGGAUUUGACUUGGUCUUUUCAGAAAUGACAAGGGUUAAAUAUGACAUUUUGAAAUAAUUCCUUCCAAAUCCGAGCACUUCCACAGAUUAAAAAAAAGGGAUGUAUCUCGCAAUUCUCCGCUCUCUCUUCUUCGCAGAUCUGCUGAAACAAACAUUAGAAGUCUUGCAAAUCUAUCGUUAUUCUUCAGGAAAAUCACUUCAUGCGAACACAAGCUUAUAGUAAAAGGAAAAAGAUUUUGGAAAGGAAAAUAAGAUUCUUUUAAAUAAAAAAAAAAUGUGAUAGGUUUAGUAAGCCUUGACAAGAAUCCAAAUUCUAUUAUGGAUAUAUACAUAUAUAUAUAUAUAUAUAUAUAUAUAUAUAUAUAUAUAUAUAUAUAUAUAUAUAUAUAUAUAUAUAUGUCAUGUUUAUUAAUUAAUUUAAGAUUAGUAUCGAUUUUAUAAAAAACAAUAUUAACGUAUUAUUAAAAAGUUAUGUCAAAUUAGAAACCCUUGAAUUAAAAGAUAAAGUUUUAAAAAAUUAUCAUAAUAAUUAAAAAAAUAUUUAAUUUUUUAUUUCCUUUUAACAUAAGCUUGAGUUGAAUUUAUCUUAUUAUAUUAUUUUUCAUCUUGCUACAUUUUAAAUAUUUGUAAAUUAUACAUAGAGAAAGAUGACAAGCAAUACAUUGAUGAUUAUAUAUAUAUAUAUAUAACGUUGUACAUAGAGAAAUGCAUUGUUUUGUUACCAAAUUUGGUCAAAUAUUUUCAAUUCACAUGGUUUUAACUAGUUUUUGUAUGGAAACGCCGAAAAACCUGAAGAUGUCAUAAUCUUUUAUCCUUCACUUACUUGAAGUAAAAUUUCCAUUAUUAAUGGGAUAAUAGAUUGAUUAGCUUUUAAUUUUAGCAAUACAAGUUAAGUAAAAAAAGCAUAGAUGGUUUGAAUUGAUCAAAAACAAUUUUUUUUGAGAAUAAUAGUAAAUAGCAGAAAAUCCUAAACCUUCAACAACGUUACAAAACCAUUUAAGAAAACUAUUAAAAUAGAAAGAAUGGAAUAUUCGCAUAUUGCAGUGAAACAUAAUAUGACUGGGAGUUCCGGUAAUAAUAGUCACUCUCUCAACGGAAUUUACUUGAGGCACAUACCGGUUAUUCCGGUCGUUUACUCUUCUGUCUCUCUUUUCCUACCUUAUUAAAACCCUACCUCACUAAAUCACUUCACCACCUCACUCAUACUUAGUUCUGUUCUCAACUUCUGCUAUUUUUUCUAUCCCUAAUUUUUCUCUCUUCACCAGUUAUGGGUAUGCAAAUAGUCACUACAUUUUUCUCAAUUUUUUCAUUUAUUUUCUCUUCUCUUCGUUUUCACCCCUUUUCCGUUUCUCAUCUUUUUGUUCUUUCUGUUUCGUUUUCCUUUUUUUUUCCAAUGAAUUUCAUGGAUCAGGCAAGGUCAAGAUCGGAAUCAACGGUACACCAUCUUCAUCCUCUUCCUUCAGAUCACUUCAACACUUUUUCAACUGUUUCAUUUUCGUUUUUCUUUUUCAUAUUUAUUUAUUUGAAAUCUAACAGGAUUUGGAAGAAUUGGCCGUUUGGUGGCCAGGGUGGCUCUUCAGAGAGACGAUGUGGAACUCGUUGCUGUUAACGAUCCCUUCAUCACCACCGAUUACAUGGUACACAUCUUCUCUUCUCCCUCGCUGUCACCACUAUAACAUGAUUUUUUUACUGUUCAGAUCGGCAAGCUUUUUCAUUUCUAUAUUGUUAUUAGCCGUUAGAUCUGGUUGUUCACGGUGUUUGGUUGCUUCUGUAGACAUACAUGUUUAAAUACGACAGUGUUCACGGACACUGGAAGCAUCACGAUGUCACCGUGAAAGACUCCAAUACCCUUCUCUUUGGUGAGAAGCCAGUCACUGUUUUUGGACACAGGUCUAUUUUUCACCCUUUUUCAUGACUUUCACUGUUUCCCUUUGCAUUUUUAUGUUGUAAUUUUUCGUCUCUUCGUGCGGUUAAAUCUUUUGUUAAUCCUCAGGAAUCCUGAAGAGAUCCCAUGGGGUACGACCGGAGCUGAUAUCAUUGUUGAGUCCACCGGAGUUUUCACCGAUAAGGACAAGGCCGCCGCACAUUUGAAGGUUUCUAUUUACAGCACUACCCUUUAACUCUGUUACGUAAUUAUUUACACGCGUUGAUAUUUUCUGUGUUCUAUGUUUGAAGUAUUGUAUCCUAAUUUUGCUGCUUUUUUUGAAAUAUUGUUUGAGAUUUAUAUUUUUAGGCGAUUUAGUGUGAGGUGGAAUUUUAAUGUUUGUUUUGUUUGUCUUUUUAUUAAUCCAGGGUGGUGCUAAGAAGGUUAUUAUUUCUGCCCCCAGCAAGGAUGCUCCCAUGUUUGUUGUUGGUGUUAACGAGCACGAGUACAAGCCAGAGCUUGAUAUCAUUUCCAAUGCCAGCUGCACAACCAACUGCCUUGCUCCUCUCGCCAAGGUU
This 17672-nucleotide long non-coding RNA is filed under the name Vigna radiata. Its description in RNAcentral is "long non-coding RNA (VRAD_LNC016923)". Lineage: Eukaryota; Viridiplantae; Streptophyta; Magnoliopsida; Fabales; Fabaceae. The record is from RNAcentral.